GACGAACGCUGGCGGCGUGCUUAACACAUGCAAGUCGAACGGAAAGGCCCUGCUUUUGUGGGGUGCUCGAGUGGCGAACGGGUGAGUAACACGUGAGUAACCUGCCCUUGACUUUGUGAUAACUUCAGGAAACUGGGGCUAAUACCGGAUAGGAUCUCCUGCUGCAUGUGGGGGGUUGGAAAGUUUCGGCGGUGGGGGAUGGACUCGCGGCUUAUCAGCUUGUUGGGGUGGUAGGGGCUUACCAAGGCUUUGACGGGUAGCCGGCCUGAGAGGGUGACCGGCCACAUUGGGACUGAGAUACGGACCAGACUCCUACGGGAGGCAGAAGUGGGGAAUAUUGCACAAUGGGCGGAAGCCUGAUGCAGAAACGCCGCGUGCGGGAUGACGGCCUUCGGGUUGUAAACCGAUUUCGCCUGUGACGAAGAGUGAGUGACGGUAAUGGGUAAAGAAGCCCCGGCUAACUACGUG
RNAcentral lists this ribosomal RNA (468 nucleotides) under uncultured bacterium. RNAcentral describes it as "partial 16S ribosomal RNA". It matches the Rfam family "Bacterial small subunit ribosomal RNA", at positions 28 to 507 of the family's 1533-position model. The record is from RNAcentral.